Long non-coding RNA from Carassius gibelio (silver crucian carp), 928 nucleotides. RefSeq lists it as uncharacterized. Lineage: Eukaryota; Metazoa; Chordata; Actinopteri; Cypriniformes; Cyprinidae. The record is from RefSeq and is a predicted model, not a curated record. The transcript is spliced from 2 exons.
CUCGGACAGGUGCACAUGUUGGGUCUGGAGCAGAAGCCGUCUCCACAGGGGCUCCGACAAAUAGCUGAGAACAGCAAAAACAAUGACUGACGACGUCUACUGAUUGCUGGACCUUCACAGACAUCAAUAAACAUGAAGCUUUUUUGUGUAUUUGAACCUUUACGACGAUGACCGUAUGAUUCUGAGAUCAUCUUUUCACACUGAGGACAACUGAGGGACUCACUGAGCGUUUGAACUGUAUAUGCACAUCUAUUUUACUCUUAAAUCCUCCCAGAAAAUCCAAGUCUGCAGAUUCAGGUCUGGUCCUGCUCCAGCUCUUUCCAUCUUGCAGUUCAUCGAGGCAUAUGCCAGCUGUCUUAUUCAGGAAAUAUCGGCUUAAUCGGAUUAAUGCCAUCGUUACACCAUGCACACAGAACUGGAACGUGUCCAAUCUCUGAUUAUUAGUGGAAUGUUCUUGUUAAGUGCGGUCAGCGAGAGGUCAGGAGGUCAGAGAGACUCUGGGCCAUUGUGGCUGAGAUCCAUUAGUGCUCCUGACCUUCACAUGUAAACAACAUCACCCCCCCCCCCCUCCCACCGCGCCAGAAUAACACAACAGCCUUCCUGAGCGCUGCCAGUCUAUUCAUUUAAACCACUGCGUAUUACACCACUGCGCUUCUGAACACAGCAAACAGGAAGCUGAGGAGGACUCACGGACGAUGCACUGGUUUCCUCCGGUCAAGGUCUUCCAUCCGGGACAGCAGUACGCAUUAUGACGGGAUCCACACACAUUCGGCCUGCGGGAAGAGUUCGGCAAAACUUAACCGAGCUAGGGCUCAGAUACAGAUGUGUGAAACUCUCCAUACAUGGAGUAAAGUGUACAUUAGAAGAACAUAGAAAGGAGCAAACACUGUAAACAGAAAUUUAGCAGUAAAUAAAACAGAAUACUUGA